GACGAACGCUGGCGGCGUGCUUAACACAUGCAAGUCGAACGGAAAGGCCCUGCUUUUGUGGGGUGCUCGAGUGGCGAACGGGUGAGUAACACGUGAGUAACCUGCCCUUGACUUUGGGAUAACUUCAGGAAAAUGGGGCUAAUACCGGAUAGGAGCUCCUGCUGCAUGGUGGGGGUUGGAAAGUUUCGGCGGUUGGGGAUGGACUCGCGGCUUAUCAGCUUGUUGGUGGGGUAGUUGCUUACCAAGGCUUAGACGGGUAGCCGGCAUGAGAGGGUGAACGGGCUCAAGGGGACUGAGAUACGGCGCAGACUCCUACGGGAGGCAGCAGUCGGGAAUAUUGCACAAUGGGCGGAAGCCUGAUGCAGCAACGCCGCGUGCGUGAUGACGGCCUUCGGGUUGUAAACAGCUUUCGCCUGUGACGAAGCGUGAGUGACGGUAAUGGGUAAAGAAGCAACGGCUAACUACGUG
This 468-nucleotide ribosomal RNA is filed under the name uncultured bacterium. Its description in RNAcentral is "partial 16S ribosomal RNA". It matches the Rfam family "Bacterial small subunit ribosomal RNA", at positions 28 to 507 of the family's 1533-position model. The record is from RNAcentral.